GUAACAAGGAAACAUGUUUCUUAUUCCUGUAACAGAAGGGGAAAGAUGGGCAGACCUGGCAGCGGCUCCGGAAGAGCAGAAGAAAGCGGAAGGGCCCUUCACCAGCAAGCGCCACUCUCCCCCCAGCAAUGAAAAUAACACGCAGUGACCAGGGGGUAGAAUCCAUCACUCUCUUCACGCAGUGUUAGCUGCUACCAAUCACACAUUUAUCUCUUUCUGGUGCUCUCCGAGCUUGGAUAGAUGAACUUGCAUCCAGUGUUGUCUUAGAACCAAGACUUUCCACUGACCAUGUCACAUCUCCGGGCUUCAGAGUGGCCGAACCGGGCCAGCGAGAUCCUCUAGAUGAGACUCGGGAGUAUCCACCUGGAGGUGGAAGGGCAGCCAAAGCUCCGGCCCGGAGAAGGCUUGGAAUCCACUGACUUUCUUGUUCACUCGUAACCAGGGGGCCUGGAGAGGUUCCAGCGUCGCGCAUUCAUAGCCUGCAGCGAACUCCUGUGUGUUGGCUCAGCAGACGUGUCCUGGGAGCGCUCCACGUGCAGGUGCUGUUCUCGGACUGGAGGAGGCGAACAGAUCCCUGAAGUUUAAAGGGAAGAGGAAAGGGACAUAAAGAACGGUUUGCAUUGAGCCAUUCUUCAAGAUAGUGGACGAAAAACACCCUGGACCCACGCUCACCAGGCUUGGCAAAGGGUGAAGAAACCAGGAGAACGGAGAGAAAUUCCACAGGUGGAUGGCAAGAUGCCACAGUCCUCCCCCGACUGGCGCCUGGCAUCCCCUGCAGCUGGGACACGGGGACUCUUCUCUGGAGAAACCCGACAGCCUCAGGGAAAAUGCCGAGACGAGGGGCCCAGAGGCCCCCAGCUCCCUGGCUGAUUCGUCUUCAAGUCCUGCCCACUGAGAGGCGGCUCCCAGAGAUUGGUUAGUGUCUUAUUCUCAGUUAUGAAUUAACAGCCAACAAUCGCCAGCAGUAAGUCAUAAACUCAAUGAUUAAAGAAGGAAAAAGAAACAAAAUAGGAAAAAAAUGAACUCAGUUGGAAAAUGAUAAUAAAGAUAUUAGAAUGAAACAAAAAAACACACUAUGCUUAAAACCCUUGGAGAGGACUUCCCUGGUGGCUCAGUGGUUGAGAGUCUGCCUGCUGAUGCAGGGGACACGGGUUCGAGCCCUGGUCUGGGAGGAUCCCACAUGCCGCGGAGCAACUAGGCCCGUGCACCACAGCUACUGAGCCUGCGCUCUAGAGCCUGUGCUCCGCAACAAGAGAGGCCGCGACAGUGAGAGGCCCACGCACCGCGAUGAAGAGUGGCCCCUGCUUGCCACAACUGGAGAAAGCCCUCGCACAGAAACGGAGACCCAACACAGCCAUAAAUAAAUAUAAAAAUAAAUAAAAAAAAAAAAACCAACCAAACAAAAAACCCUUGGAGUAAUAAGAGAUGACAUUUUAUUCAAGAAAAAAAUAUCGCAAGGCACAAAGAAGGAGAAAGAAAGAGCUCUGUACAAUAGAAUAUGUGAGAAUUGAAAUUAAAACCUUGGCUGAAGAUUUGGAAGAUAGAGUAGAGAAGACCUACCAGGAGAAAUGAUAAUAAAAGGGUAAAAAAUGAAAAACGAAAGAGGAAAAAUUAGAAAAUAAAAAGAAUAGUGUUUGUGUUCCAACGUAUUUAAAAGAAUUUCAUUAAGAGAGAAAGAGUGGGAGAGAGAAAAAGAUUUUUUUUUUUAAAUGCAACUUUUUUUUUUUUUUUUCCAAAACUGAAGAACAUUAGCUUCUGGUUUAAAGGCCUCUCCUCCCACUAACCUGAUUCCCCACGACAAAGAGCAAUAAAGCAAAGAGUCCAAAUAUACAGCAAGAUUAAAAUAGCUGCUUACAGCAAGUGCAGAAGAUCAGCUUGCUCUGAUGCUUCUGAAGAUUGCUCUGGAAUUGAGAAAGACAGUGGAGAUGUAGCUACUAAAUGUCAAAGGAAAAUAGUUCUACCCAGUGAUGGCAGAGAAAAUGAAACCACAGAAAUGCAUCUCGGGGGGCUCUGAGGAGCUCUGGUUCUUUUUUUUUUAAUUUAUUGUUAUUUUUUAAUCUUUUUAUACAGCAGGUUCUUAUUAGUUAUCCAUUUUAACAGCUGAUGAGAGUAGACUUGAUCCAGGAAUCAAAGAAGAAGUCAUUUCCUGGUAGAGAAACUUCCAGACCUUUCAGAAGGGAGUCAAAGAAAAUGCAGCGAGAAGUAAGGCCUGGGCCAUUUUACGUCAUGAUACGGGAGAAUAGAUAUCUCCACAGUCUUUAAGAAAUACACGGCCAGGGCCAUUGGGUCCUGGAAACACUGUGUGUUUUUCAGGUUGGAACAGCCGUGGAUGGUGAAUCGUCCUUGCCUCUGAGAAAUGAAUCUCUCAAGCUGAGUCUAUGCGGUAUUAAGUGAAAGGAUUAUUUGGAAAUUGUCCAGUUUGGAGUGAAGAAAGAGAUCAUACCUGGAUAAUGGAAGUCUCAAGGUGAACAUCUGGAGUCUGACAGUUUCCACAGUUGAAGUCAAGCCAACAGAUUUCAUGUCAGCCCAGAAACCUCUGUGCUUAGAAGUGGACUUGGCUGUCUCUCAGUGUUUAACAUGUGUUCAGUUCCCCUUAAGCUGUCCCAGCCCUCGGAGCAGCCAGAUGUUUCAGAAUCUUGUAGAGAAAACCCAGCGAGUAACAGAUCUUCCAGAGGCGGGAAUCCUGCCGGGUCAGGGCUGACCCUGCACUUGGGGAGCCCAGGACAGUCCCCAGGAGGGGCAAGCGCCCCCUGCUGUGGGCCUGUCUCCUUACUGGGGUGCCCUUGACCUUGGUGGUCUGUCCCGUCCCCUCCCACCGCCACUCCCACCAGCAGGAGGCCUAUUUAGCAGGUCUCAACGUUUUAUCUGCCUUCGCUGUUUUCUAGCCCUAAUUUAAGAAUUGAAGCUUGCCCCUGUCCGUUAGCAUUUUUGGGUUCUGUUUUCCUAAAAUGCUUCUCCAGAUGGCUGAUCCAUCAAUCCUAUUUGAUGAUUAGGUUUCCGCUGUUUUCCUGCUGCUUCAUCUUCUUUCCUCUGGAAGAGCUCGAUCUCGUUACCUCUCACCCAUGGAGUUCACUGUCCGUCCUUCGGGAAAACGGUACCAUCAGUGUCUUUGUGGCUUUGGAUGCUCACAGCUCGAGAUGGGGAUGGAAAUCCAGCCCACUCGGUGUCGUGAGCACGGUCCCCUUCCCCAUGGCUGGCAUCCUGGCUGUGACUCAUCCCCACCCGUUAUCCUAAACCCACCCACCCUUUUCUUCCUGCUGUCUCCUGUCUGGAUAUGAAUCCCCAUAGCCUCCAGGCUGGUCUCCACACUCAGAUUCCACCCACCCCAGGACAUUUGCUGCAAUGCUAGCGGGAAAAACGAGCUUUCUAAAACUCAUCCUGAGCAUGUGAUUCUUCUGCCUAAAAUUCUUCAAUGGCUUGCAACCGGGCAAAUUCUAAAAUCCUUCUCAUGACAUCUGAAACCUUUGAGAACUGAAUUUCUGCCCGUGUGUCAGUUCCACACUAGAGCUGGCGGCCCCUGGGGACCUUCCUGCAGGGCCUGUGGGGUCUUCCUGCUUGGGGACCCCGGCCCUGUCACUGGGAGGCCUCCCAUGACACCCCUGCUCUGUCCCUUUAGAGAACCUAACGUGAGAUUUUUUUGCAUCAUGUACUGUAGUGGAUUAUUGUUUACUUGUCUGAAUUUCCUGUUAGAGUCUAGACACGGAGCCCUAUGGGAAUGGACCAUCUCUCUUUAUAUUGGAUUUGUUUUUGCCUGUUUAACACAUAGUAAAUUCUCAAAACUUCUAGUGGAUUAAUAAUACAUUUGUGGGGGCUU
Balaenoptera acutorostrata (minke whale) is the source of this 3814-nucleotide long non-coding RNA. RefSeq lists it as uncharacterized. The transcript has 5 exons. Lineage: Eukaryota; Metazoa; Chordata; Mammalia; Artiodactyla; Balaenopteridae. The record is from RefSeq and is a predicted model, not a curated record.